CUUUCUUUGCUGGCGACCGGCGCACGGGUGAGUAACACGUAUCCAACCUGCCGAUGACUCGGGGAUAGCCUUUCGAAAGAAAGAUUAAUACCCGAUGGCAUAGUUCUUCCGCAUGGUGGAACUAUUAAAGAAUUUCGGUCAUCGAUGGGGAUGCGUUCCAUUAGUUUGUUGGCGGGGUAACGGCCCACCAAGACUACGAUGGAUAGGGGUUCUGAGAGGAAGGUCCCCCACAUUGGAACUGAGACACGGUCCAAACUCCUACGGGAGGCAGCAUG
Molecule: ribosomal RNA, 275 nt
Filed under: uncultured bacterium
Lineage: Bacteria
Description: partial 16S ribosomal RNA
Rfam family: Bacterial small subunit ribosomal RNA
Source: RNAcentral